GGUGUGUAUAACUAAUUAAACCACACAAUCUAAUUAUAGCUGGCAGGCCUGGUGGGAGGAGGUGGGUAAGUUCAAGUGUUUCACUCUGAUACAAGUCGUGUGCACUUAUGAAAUUACUUGUGCUAUAUCUUCGUUAUAUGCCAAGAAUCCGACCUUGAUCUUGGCACUGUUACGUAGUUUUAGGCACUGAAAUUUCCUGCCUCUUCAACCGGCGCGCCAUAGAUUAAGAUAAAGCUAUUAUGUCAUGUAAUCGUGUUAAUCCAGGCAUGACAUAAAAAUCCAUAUUUCCUGGGAAAUAUUUUUAUUUUAUGUCCCGCCUUCCUUCAGUUAAUAGACUACGGAUAUCCAAUUAGCGUUGCAUUAACCAAGCUAUGUUUACUGGCAAGCAAUAAAUGGACAAUGUCUUUAUGGGUAAAUUUUGGCUAUGAACAAUUCAUAGCCGCUUUAUUGAAAAUGAUUAUAUAAAAAUCAAUAAUAACAUAUUUUAAUCAUCAGAAUAAUACUAGAGUUCAUUUUGAUUUAUAUAUUGAUGUUCAAUUGCCAGUAAAGGUGGCAGGACUACACGCCAAAGACUUUGCAAUUCAUUUCCCAGUACGCAAAAGGAGGAAAUGAAUAUAAAAGUCUCCCCACCCGAGGGAAAUGCAACGCCAAGGACUAUAAUAAUACAUACCAAUGGAAAGUCAGUGUAUCAUAUACAAAUAAUAUUGGAUACACAAUAUUAUUUGAUUUAGAAAAGACAGACGCCCCUGCGCACCGUCGAAAUUGAUAUAGAUUGAAAACAUCGUUCAGGAUGACUGUUUCCAUAAAUGUUGAAACGACCGCCCUUGCU
Molecule: non-coding RNA, 829 nt
Organism: Paramuricea clavata
Lineage: Eukaryota; Metazoa; Cnidaria; Anthozoa; Malacalcyonacea; Plexauridae
Source: the annotation of a GenBank genome assembly